Molecule: small nuclear RNA, 84 nt
Filed under: Sorex araneus (European shrew)
Lineage: Eukaryota; Metazoa; Chordata; Mammalia; Eulipotyphla; Soricidae
Source: RNAcentral
CCUGCUGUGCUAAUGAUACAGAGAAGAUUAGCAUGCCCCCUUAGCAAGGAUGACACACAAAUGGAAUACUAUAACAAUAAGUUG